RNAcentral lists this ribosomal RNA (351 nucleotides) under uncultured soil bacterium. RNAcentral's name for it is "bacterial SSU rRNA". It matches the Rfam family "Bacterial small subunit ribosomal RNA", at positions 26 to 376 of the family's 1533-position model. The record is from RNAcentral.
AGAUCGAACGCUGGCGGCAUGCUUUACACAUGCAAGUCGAACGGCAGCGCGGGGCAACCUGGCGGCGAGUGGCGAACGGGUGAGUAAUAUAUCGGAACGUACCCAAGAGUGGGGGAUAACGUAGCGAAAGUUACGCUAAUACCGCAUACGAUCUAAGGAUGAAAGCAGGGGACCGCAAGGCCUUGUGCUCCUGGAGCGGCCGAUAUCUGAUUAGCUAGUUGGUAGGGUAAGCCUACCAAGGCUACGAUCAGUAGCUGGUCUGAGAGGACGACCAGCCACACUGGGAACUGAGACACGGUCCAGACUACCUACGGGAGGCAGGCGAGGUGGGGGUAAUUUGGUACAAGUGGG